RNAcentral lists this ribosomal RNA (427 nucleotides) under uncultured prokaryote. RNAcentral's name for it is "bacterial SSU rRNA". It matches the Rfam family "Bacterial small subunit ribosomal RNA", at positions 355 to 774 of the family's 1533-position model. The record is from RNAcentral.
UGGGGAAUCUUCCGCAAUGGACGAAAGUCUGACGGAGCAACGCCGCGUGAGUGAAGAAGGCCUUCGGGUUGUAAAGCUCUGUUAUUAGGGACGAAUGUACGAUGUGUAAAUAAUGCAUUGUAGUGACGGUACCUAAGGAGGAAGCCACGGCUAACUACGUGCCAGCAGCCGCGGUAAUACGUAGGUGGCAAGCGUUGUCCGGAAUUAUUGGGCGUAAAGCGCGCGCAGGUGGGAUAAUAAGUCUUAUGUAAAAGUGCGGGGCUCAACCCCGUAGCGCGUGAGAAACUGUUAUUCUUGAGUGCCGGAGAGGAAAGCGGAAUUCCCAGUGUAGCGGUGAAAUGCGUAGAUAUUGGGAGGAACACCAGUGGCGAAGGCGGCUUUCUGGACGGUGUCUGACACUGAGGCGCGAAAGCCAGGGGAGCGAACG